UGAAAAUUAGUGGGUAAUUAGCCUGAAUAAACUCAGAAAGCAAGUGUUGUCUAUCAGCUUCUUCCUUCGGUUCGUACGGGAAAGGAGUUAAAUAACAGCACUACAUUA
This is a small nucleolar RNA of Amaranthus tricolor (Joseph's coat), 108 nucleotides long. RefSeq annotates it as small nucleolar RNA snoR97. NCBI's taxonomy places the organism in Eukaryota, Viridiplantae, Streptophyta, Magnoliopsida, Caryophyllales, Amaranthaceae. The record is from RefSeq and is a predicted model, not a curated record. The transcript has a single exon.